RNAcentral lists this long non-coding RNA (8370 nucleotides) under Nicotiana tabacum (common tobacco). Its description in RNAcentral is "long non-coding RNA (NTAB_LNC015333)". Lineage: Eukaryota; Viridiplantae; Streptophyta; Magnoliopsida; Solanales; Solanaceae. The record is from RNAcentral.
UCUAACCCUAAUGACCUCAACCAAAUGAUGCCUCUCUCACCUUCCCUUCUUCUAUUGCGCUAACUCCACCCAAACUCGCCUGAAACUCAAGCGAGUUCACCCUAAAACUCACCUCACGUGCUCCCUCCUCUCUCCUCUUGCCACGUAGCGUACUAUCUAUGAUAGACGAAAUUAUUCCUUCCGAAAUUUGCACGUUUAGAUUCUUUUUGGGGCAAUUUUCAGAUUAAUGGGAGUCAUGGAUUGAUUGGCAAUCGAUCCAUGUCCUCCAUUUGUCCCAAAAAUUGUCCACAAGGAGUAGAGGAUUUUUGGAUUUGGGGAGAAGGUUUGAGAAUUUUUUUUUGAGGGAUUUUUUUUUUUCCAGAAGAUUUUUCAGGGAAUUUUUUUUGGAGAGAAAAGUUUGAUAAAAGAAUAGGGCUCUUCCUAUUCUUCCAUCUUCAGUUUCUAUUUUAAAUCUAGAAAAUGAAAAAAUGAUUUCUGUUCGGGUUUUUGGUUUUUUAUACGAGAUUUAGUUGAUCAGUUGCUGAUGUGAGAUUUUAGGUUGGUUUAAGUGUCAAAAUACAAAAACAAAUUCAGUUUUCGUUUUCAAAGUUAGAGUUGGAUUGAAGUUUGAGUUUGAGUACAUGUUUGGAUUUGAAAUUCCGGUGUCGUUUCGAGUUCUUGUUUGAGGUUUCUGUCCGAUUUUGAAGCUGUGUAUCGUUUGACUUCUGGGAAUCGAAGUUGCAUUCUCACUGAAUCUCCUACUGUUGGUUAAAGAAAAUUUCCCCCAACAGGUUCAUUCUCUUUUAUUCUAUCCGUCUUGAUCUUCUUACUGUGAAUCGAUCCUCAUAAAUUAUUAAUAUGACUUAGUAGUGAUAGCCGUAGUUUAUUGAUCUCUUCACAGCUAGCUUACAUGAUUGUGGUUGUUUGGUUUUGAUUUAAUCGCUUUCUGGUGGAUUGUUCAGCUUGCGAAUGAGUUUAAUAUGUGUUCUUAUGGCUAGUUUUUUAACAUUUUCAAAUCUGAUUUUCAAUUGAAUUUUUGAACCACUUCGUUAAGGGUGAACAGAUUUGUGUGCUUCUCUUUUCUUCUAUAAGUAAGAAUUUAAGUACUCAAAAGCUCUCAUAGAUAUUUUAAAGGCCAUUUUUUAAAAAAAAAAAGAAGAAGAAGACACAAUCAUGUGUUACAGUUAUUUGGUAUACUGUUGAACAAUUUGUAAUUUAGUUCGAUUUAUCUACUGGUUCAGUGUUUUGAGUUGAAUCUGAUUUUAAACCACCUUAUGGCUGAGUCAUUGUUCCCAUUAAGUAGGUAGGAUGAUCCAAAGGUGAUACUGGCAGUACGUUCUUAAUUUUAGCUUUUCAGCAGUUUUAAAAGUUUUGAUAUUAUGUUUCGAUGCUUGGAAUGCCUCUUUGGUUCAAGUGAUGAUUAAAAGCUCCUUUUAUACAUGAACAAUUUGCAAAAGUUAAAAAUAUGAUAAAGAGGUCCUAUUAGUUACAGUGAUCCUCCUCGUAGUGAUUACAUUUUAGUUGAAAGGAAAGUAAAUGGGAUUAGGAGGUUUUCGUUAAUUAUAUUGAGAGUGUUCAUGAUUUAAAUGGCAUUAUUGUAUUAGAAUUAGCUGUUGGAAUUCCUGUUUGUUUUAAAUGCUUUCAUCGUUUGAACGCUUAUGUUGCCUGCACAUUCGGUUAGCAUUAACUUGUUUAUUUGUUGCGCCGUGGGAGUGGGAAUGGCCAAAGGCCUUUAGAAAUUAAUUUUGCUAUAUUUUAGGAUCGGUUUGGUCAAAUGCAUGAAAUCUCUUUUAGCAAAAGCGUGCCAUAAGCCUGUCACACGCAAUUUCAAAAUAGUUUGGAAAAUGAUUCAUAAACCUCGUAGCUUGCUUUAGACACGAUUAAUAAAAUCAUUGUGAUCACAGCUACGGUUCCCGUGGCGUGAUCAUGAUACAUAAAUCCAAAUUCGGGUGUGCGUUUCAUGUGACUAAUAAAGUUAAACAUGUUGUAGAUGGUGGGUAUAGUUCCCAUGACACGAUUCGCAACAUGUACAAAAACAAACAAGUGUACGACAAUCGUAACUUGUUCCAGAAAUAACUCCAUAAAUAAUUAAAAGCGGUUUGAAAAGUUUAAAAAUGCACAAUAGGUAUAAAAUAUAUUAUUAAUCAGAUAAUUAGGCCAAUUAAUAAUAGUUGAGCGACCCGCUAAAACUAAGGAACCCGAGAAUGCCUAACACCUUUUCCCGGAUUAACAAAAUUCCUUACCUGGAUUUCUGUGUUUCGCGGACUGUAAAACAUAGUCAAAUUUCCUCGAUUCGGGAUUUUAAACUGGUGACUUGGGACACCAUAAAUUAUCCCAAGUGGCUCAUUUGAAUUUAAGUAAAUAAUCUCGUUUCGGUUUGGUCACUUUAAUUAGAAAAACUCCUCUAUACCCUUUCGAGUAGAAAAAGGAGGUGUGACAUGCAGUGCUGGGGGAUUUCCCGGAAUACUAUUCUGCAGUCCCAAAGUAAAUAUAGAGUACAGGGGGAUUUUCCGGAAUACUAUCCCGUAGUCCCAAAGUAAAUAUGCAGCUCAACUAAUAUAAACAAUCGUAACAGCAAGAAAACCUACAAUUUAGACUAAGUUCAAACCAAAGAAAGCAGGUAAUUUCACUAAACAUACUACACAUAGUUCAGUUAGGCAGUUAAAACACGUAGGCUUGCUUUUCUAAUCUAAACAGGAUAGUACAUAUGUUAGUGUAGUGCAAACAAGGAGAAAACAGGUUAGGACUUAGUGUAAAAUGGAGUUUGGACUUAGCGAACGUGAAGAACAAACUUAGCUAGUCCCUCAGAUACUCUACACGAUCGCGAGCCUUCUCACACGAACGCGAUGAAGGAAACCAGCUUCAGAACGCCAGAAAAAUCUGCUAUCUUUCUAAAUCCAAAAAUGACCCAUUGAGCAUCCGAAACACACCCGAGGCCCUCCGGACCUUAACCAAACAUACCAACCAAUGCUAAGACACCAUACGAACUUAAUUGAGUCCUCAAAUCACAUCAAACAAGGCUAAAAUCACGAAUUACCCUCCAAUUCAAACUUAAUGACUUGAAACUUCCAAAUUCGACAACCGUUGCCGAAACCAAUCAAACCAUAUCUGAUUGACCCCAAAUUUUGCACACAAGUCAUAAUCAACUUUACGGACCUACUCCAACUUCUAGAAUUGGAUUCUAACCCCGAUAUCAAAAAUUCCACUAUCGGUCCAAAACUUCAAAAAUUCGACUUUCGCCAUUUCAAGCCUAAAUGAGGUAUGAACCUUCAAAACACAAUCUGGACACACCCUUAUGCCCAAAAUCACCCAACAGAGCUAACGGAAUCGACACAAUUUCAUUUUAGAGCCGUCUUCACAUUAUUCCAAUUAUGGUCCAAAUCUUAAAGCUUAAACCUUAAUUUAGGGACUAAGUAUCCCAAAACACUCCAAAAACCAAAAAGAAACCUCCCGGCAAGUCAUAAUAGCAUAAAACGAUACAGGGGAAGUAGUUAAUAGGGGAUCAAGGCUCUAACCCUCAAAACGACCAGCUGGGUUGGUACAUCCUCUCCCUCUGAAAAUAGUCAUUCGUCCUCGAAUGAGCAUAGAGACAUACCUGAAGUUGUUAAAAAAUGAGGGUAACGGCUACGCAUAUCCUGUUUAGUCUCCCAAGUCGCCUCCUCGACCGGCUGACCCCGCCAUUUAACCUUUACUGAUGCAAUGUUCUUUGACCUCAGCUUCCAAACCUGCCUUUCCAAAAUAGUCACUGGCUCCUUAGUAUAAGAUAGAUCCUUGUCCAACUGGACUGAGCUAAAAUCCAACACAUGAUAUGGAUCGCCGUGAUACCUCUGGAGCAUCGAAACAUGAAAUACCGGAUGAACUCCUACUAGGCUGGGAGGUAAGGCAAGCUUAUAAGCAACCUCUCCAACUCGGUACAACACCUUAAAGGACCAAUAAACCUUGGGCUCAAUUUUCCCCUCUUUCCAAACCUCAUAACGCCCUUCAUAGGCGAAACCCGGAGUCUAUCAUAAGCCAAUAAACCAUGAAUGCAAUAUUGUGAACCUUUGGGUCCGCAUAACUCUUCUGUCUGGACUGGGCUGUGCGAAGUCUAUCCUGAAUCACCUUAACCUUCUGCAAAGCAUCUUGAACCAAGUCCAUACCCAUUAAUCUGGCCUCGCCUGACUCGAACAUACCCACUGGGACCGACACCGCCUACCAUAAAGAACCUCAUAAGUUGCCAUAUGAAUGUUGGACUGAUAACUAUUGUUGUAGGCAAACUCCGCAAGUGACAAUAAUUGAUCCCAAAAACCUCUAAACUCCAUCACUCAAGCACAGAGCAUAUCCUUAAAGAUCUGAAUAACGCGCUCGGACUGCUCAUCCGUCUAAGGAUGAAAUGUUGCGCUCAACUCCACCUGAAUACCCAACUCAUGUUGUACAGCUCUCCAGAACCAUGAUGUAAACUGCGUGCCCCGGUUAGAGAUGAUACAUAUCGGCAUGCUAUGAAGUAUGACAAUAUCGCGUAUAUAAACUCGAGCCAGCUGCUUGGAAGAAUAGAUAGUCUUCGUAGGAAGGAAAUGAGCUGACUUGGUCAGUCUAUCUACAAUCACCCAAACUACAUCAAACUUCCGUUGAGUCCGUGAGAGUCCAACAAUGAAAUCCAUAGUGAUCCAUUCCCAUUUCCACUUUGGAAUAUCUAACUUCUGAAGUAAUCCACCCGGCCGUUGAUGUUCAUACUUCACCUGCUGAUAAUUUAGACACCAGGCUACAUAUUCCGCUAUGUCCUUCUUCAUCCUCAUCCACCAGUAAUGCUACCUCAAGUCCUGAUACAUUUUUGCGGCACCCAGAUGAAUGGAGUACUGCGAGCUAUGAGCCUCUUGAAGAAAAAACUCCCGUAGACCAUCUACAUUAGGCAUACAUAGCCUGUCCUACAUCCUCAAUGCACAUCAUCCCCAAUACUGACCUCCUUAGCAUCACCGUGCUGGACCGUGUCCUUUAGGACAAGCAAAUAGGGAUCAUCAUAUUGACACUGCCUGAUACGAUCAUAAAGAGAAGACCGAGAAACCACACAAGCCAACACUCGACUAGGCUCAAAAAUAUCUGAUCUCAUAAACUGGCUGGCAAAAGCAUAAACAUCCAACGCCAUGGGCCUCUCUACUGCUAGUAGGUAAGCUAAACUACCCUAGCUCUCUGCCCAAAGACUCAAAGCAUCGGCCAUCACAUUGGCCUUCCCCAGGUGGUACAAAAUGGUGAUAUCAUAAUCCUUAAGUAGCUCCAACCACCUCCUUUGACGCAAAUUAAGAUCCUUCUGCUUGAACAAAUGCUGCAAACUCCAUUGAUCAAAAUAGAUCUUACAAGGGACUCCGUACAAAUAGUGCCUCCAAAUCUUUAAGGCAUGAACAAUAGCAGCUAACUUAAGGUCGCGAACAGGAUUAUUCUUUUCACGCACCUUCAACUGUCUGGACGCGUAGAAAAUCACCCUACAGUCCUGCAUUAACGUUGCACUAAGGCCAACUCGCGACGCAUCACAAUAAACUAUAUAAGACCCUGAAGGCAAUACCAAUAUUGGGGCUGUAGUCAAAGCUGUCUUGAGCUUCCGAAAGCUCUACUCGCACUCCUGUGUCCAUAUGAUUGGAGUACCCUUCUGGGUUAGCCUGGUCAUAGGCGCUGCAAUAGACGAGAACCCCUCAAAAAAUUGACAGUAAUAUCCCAUCAAACCUAGGAAGCUCCGGAUCUCUAUAGCUGAGGACGGUCUGGCAACUUUGCACUACCUCCACUUACUUUGAAUCUACCUUGAUCCCUUUACUCGACACCACAUGAUCAAAAAAUUCCACAGAAUCCAACUAGAACUCACAUUUUGAGAACUUUGCAUAAAAUUUCUUCUAUCUCAAGUUCUGAAGCCCAGUCCUCAAGUGCUGCUCAUGAUCUUCCCAACUCCGGGAGUACACCAGAAUGUCAUCAAUAAAUACAUUGACGAAUGAGUCAAGAUAAGGCCAAAAUACACUGCAUCAAAUGCAUAAAUGUUGCUAGGACGUUGAUCAGCCCAAUUGACAUGACAAGGAACUCGUAAUGAUCAUACAAAGUCCUGAAAGCAGUCUUCAUGAUAUCUGGCUCCCGAAUCUUCAAUUGAUCAUAAUCGGAACGCAAGUCAAUCUUGGAAAAUACUCUGGCACCCUGUAACUGAUCAAAUAAGUCAUCAAUACGAGGCAAAGGUUAUCUGUUCAUCAUGGUGACUUUGUUCAACUGACGAUAAUCAAUGCACAUACGCAUAGUACCAUCCUUUUUCUUCACAAACAAGACAGGAUCACUCCAAUGUGACACACUGGGCCGAAUGGAUCCCUUAUCAAGUAAUUCUUGUAGAUCAACUCCUUCAACUAAGGAGGGGCCAUACGAUAAGGAGGAAUAUAGAUGGGUUGAGUGCCCGACAACAAAUCAAUGCCAAAAUCAAUAUCUCUGUCGUGCGACAUGCCCAGAGAUCAGCUGGAAACACAUAAGAGAAAUCUAUUACUACAGGGACUGAAUCAACUGUAAGGGUAUCAAUACUGACAUCUCUCACAUAGGCUAGAUACGCGUCACACCCUUUCUCAACCAUUCGUCAUGCUUUAAGAAAUGAAAUAACUUUGCUGGGGGUGUAAUCUAAGGUAUCCCUCCACUUUAAUCACAGUAAACCUGGCAUAGCUAGCGCCACGAUUUUGGAGUGAAAAUCUAGAAUAGCAUAAUGGGGCGACAACCAGUCCAUGCCCAAGAUAACAUCAAAAUCUACCAUGCUGAGCAACAACAAAUCAGCUCUGUCUCAAAACCACUAAAUGUAAUCAAACACGACUGAUAAAUAUAGUCCACAACAAGACAAUCUCCCAUAGAAGUAGACACAUAAACAGGGGAACUCAAAGAAUCACGAGAUAUGCCCAAAUGUCGGGCAAAAUAAGAGGACACAUAGGAAUAAAUGGAGCCUGGAUCGAAUAAACCGAUGCAUCUCUAUGAUAGACUUGAACAAUACCUGUAAUGACAGAAUCAGAAGCAACGAGAAUGAAGGGAAUAGUAUCUGGCCUGGCCUCCCCCUCUAGGGCGACCUUUGUGUCACAUCUUGCAUUUUCGUACAUUAAAGUUUUUUCUUCAGUUAAUCGACAUAGACUUGGGGAUGAGAUUAUCUUGAGGUUAUACACAGUUAUGUUAUUUAUAUCAAGCGAUAAGUAAGUUCCGUGAAGGAUAAAGGUUAAACGAAUCAAAUUAAAUGAGUUUCGUUGAAAAUUGUCGAUUUGGGAUAAAAAUACGGCCCGACAAUAAUACCCAGUAUUUAAGGACUAAUGCCAUACAAGGUACCCCACGACCACAAUAGUAGGAUACAUAAAUUGUAUUAAAGUGAGUAGUAUUUUAAGUAAGUUGAGAUAAUUCUUAAUUAUAUGAGUAAUUGGUUAAUGAAUGACUAAUUAGUUAAAUAAGUCAUUAAUGGGUAAUUAAGAUUUUGGGAUAAUUAAGAGGCCAAAACCGUGGCAACCCCCCUUAAAUUAAGAUGACUCUUAAAAGUCUUGUAAGAUGUCAUAUUUUAAAGAAUUAGGAUGGCUUAGUCAUCCACUAAAUGGACCACACCCACUAAAGGUAUUUUUAUAAUUAGUAAGAUGUUACAUGCCAUCUUAUUAUGAGUUUCUAAAGGCUUAAAUGUGAGUUUCUUCAAUAUAAAGUUUCUAAAGGCUUAACGUGAGUUUCUUUAAAUGAAUUCAUAUAUGCAUUACAAAUCAAAUGGAAUCUCUUAAAGAGAGUGACUAGUCGUGAGUGCUUCAAAGAGAAAAAAAAUUCCAUAUCAAAGUUAGAUAACGUUGGUUGUCGAUUUUGUAAAGUGUGAAUUGCAAAUUCUAAGAGAAUUGGUUCAGGUAUGUAUAGGCUAUCCCUUCUUUUGUUUUUGGCAUGAUCCAUACGAUACAAACGAAACGAGCAAAUGUAUAACUUCCAUAAAUAACUCUAUUCAUAGGAGUAUUAGAGGUGCCUAUGUUCUUGAAUUCCCAUUUAUCUUAUUAUUACAUCUUCUAUUCAUGGGUCUUAGAAAAAUACGUAGUUGAUAAAGUUUAUCCGAAAGGAAUAUUGAUCUUAUUNNNNNNNNNNNNNNNGCCACCUGAUCAGCUGGUACAUGUUAAUGAUUUUACCCACAGUAGCCGAGAUGAUAUGAUGGGAUACUCUUAGAGGCUUGAUGAUGUUACGUACACCAAUACCUAUGCAUGACACGACAUUUACACGCACGUGCAUGACAUUAUAAAUGUUUCAGGAUUUACAAAGUGAUUUAGACUUACAGGUAGAAUUCCUUAUUCCAUGUUUCAUCUAUGCCUAUUAUGUACUGAUUUUUAUGCCUUACAUACUCAGUACAUUAUUCACACUGACGCCCUAUUUCCCCAGGCAUACAUUUCAUACCUGCAGGUAAAGGUA